CUCUCCAGUCCCUCUUCCAGUCCCUCUGUAUGAUAGAACAGAUAAUGUUUCCACAGCUGCAAGUUAUAUAUCCUUCUCUCUCCCAACAGGCAAGUUACGGGAUUUUGUGGAAGUGACCUUCUAAAGCACAUUCUAGGGAUUCCACAUUCUAAAUUAUUGUUUGCCUUAUAGCAUGAUUACUCCAGUCUGAGUGGUGUACUGUUGUCAGUGGGCUCUAGUAGUGAGAUUACCCUGCCUUCCUGACUGCUGAGAUCAGGGUUGCGGUCCAUGCAUGACAUCUUAUCACAGGACUGGACAGUCAUUAGUGUUGCUUAGAGGGCUGAUCCAGCCUCAGAGCUGACCGAAACCCAGCACUUUGUUCACUCCAUCUGAUGUCCACUGAGGAGACAAGGACAGACAGAAAAGACAGGGACUAAGAGAGGAGAGAAGAGAAAGGGGAGAGAGAUGAGAAAGCAGAGGAGAGAAAGAGAAGAAGAACUCAAUGACGGGAAGAGCGCAAUGGACACCAUCAAAAAGAGGUGAGGGGAGGGCAUGACGAAACUCCCUCCACCCAUGACGAACACCCCCCCAACUCCAGCCCUGCAUCAUCAGUGUUUACGCCUCAAUCAAUUACCCAUCAUAACCUGGGUGUUUGUGUCGGCGCCUCACUGGCUGGUUGAAGUCCCAAGCCACUUCUAAUUAACGACAUCUCCAGGUCAGGACUCACACAGGGAGAAAUCUUACAUCAGUCCAAUUGACUAAGAGUUUUUCCUAAUAAAAAAAUACAACUUUAAUUGAGAAAGAUUGUACUAACUAUACACACUCACUCAGUGUUAAAAAAUAUGAAAAAGACAUUACGCAACAUCCUAGCACACAGUUUAAGCCAUUGCAAAUGCAAGC
RNAcentral lists this long non-coding RNA (879 nucleotides) under Salmo salar (Atlantic salmon). RNAcentral's name for it is "lncRNA (ENSSSAG00000119619.1, ENSSSAG00075047155.1)". The record is from RNAcentral. Lineage: Eukaryota; Metazoa; Chordata; Actinopteri; Salmoniformes; Salmonidae.